UGUUAGAAAUUUUAUCUAUUUGUACUAUUAAAAACUGGUGUGGUUGAUGAAAUAAUCAUAAAGUGACACAUGGCGUGUCAUAUAUACCUUGUGCUGUCGUACAAUGAUCAGAUUUUAACAAUAGAUUUUGAUGUAAUUUUUAAAA
Molecule: non-coding RNA, 145 nt
Organism: Gossypium hirsutum (cotton)
Lineage: Eukaryota; Viridiplantae; Streptophyta; Magnoliopsida; Malvales; Malvaceae
Source: Rfam